UCCCCAUCGAGUCGAGUGUGUUUGCAUAUCAUCCGGUGUGAGAGGAGUUCCUUCCUUCAUAAGCUCGCUGAUGGCUUCAAACCAUAUCAAGACGGCCGCGCAUGCCCGAGGGGGCGUCCCCAAAUGUCCAUGCGACAACGUGUCUCGUUGGGCCAUGGAACCUGCAGACAAAAUCACUGGCAUCAGCAUUGGCGCUGCUUCAUGCGUAAACUCCAUUAAGAUAACCUUCGACAUCGACGGAACCACUCGCGUAACUCCCAGAUAUGGAGGCCCCGGCGGUGAACUAUUCCAGGCAUGCCUCUCCGACCUCCAUCCAUCCAUCCAUGCAUCUAUUAUUUUGCCUUCCCCUCCCUCCUACUAAUACCUGCUAUCAAAUAUAUAAAUCGCUAAAUGUAUCAUCGCUCUAAUUGCCUUGCAGUUUACUCUCAUGCAAGAUGAAUACCUCACCUCCGUUUCUGGGUAUGUCAAAUACGACUGUUCUGAAUUUCCAUGCGUCUCUCAGCUCACGUUUACCACCAAUCUUGGAAAGACAUACGGUCCAUAUGGAGGUGGGGGUGGAACCUUUUUUGAAGUCAACGUAGAAUAUGACGAGAUUAAGGGCUUCUUCGGACAAGCAACUACAGAGUAUCUCACUGCAUUUGGAGUCUACGUGAUGCUGGCUUAGCCAACCCUUGUGGAGGGUGUUGACUAUCUAUCUCUAUCUCUGUGUGCCAUGAUGAAUAAGGAUGCCAAUGUCUGUUACUGGCAUCUAUGUUUGAGUUGGGUGUGUGUUUGAGUAGUGUGAAAUAAAGUCUAUCUUCUGUCACUACUAAUAAUAUGACGCGUCUCAUUGAUAACA
Molecule: long non-coding RNA, 838 nt
Organism: Musa acuminata AAA Group (dessert banana)
Lineage: Eukaryota; Viridiplantae; Streptophyta; Magnoliopsida; Zingiberales; Musaceae
Exons: 2
Source: RefSeq, a predicted model, not a curated record